This 974-nucleotide long non-coding RNA is filed under the name Sus scrofa (pig). RNAcentral describes it as "lncRNA (ENSSSCG00060027966.1)". The record is from RNAcentral. Lineage: Eukaryota; Metazoa; Chordata; Mammalia; Artiodactyla; Suidae.
CUGUGGUUAGAUCCAGAAUACCAGGUUUGCUUUGGGGGGGAUAUCAAACAUUCUUAAGAAAACCUCUAUUUCCUGUAUUAGGAAGAAGCCAGACCCUGCUGGAGGUGGACUGGGUGGGAAGUUGUGAGCAGGGGUCUGUGGAGGGAGGCUGGCCCACCCAGAGCAAUUUGGUUCCUGGACUCAAGCAAAUUUUAUCUAAAUUCUGAUUUUCUCUCUCAACAGCCUGUUCCUAGAUGUUGUAGUUCUUUGACUCAAGGAUUUACUGGAUGGACAGUGACCUCAUAGGAGGGAAAGGAGCAUUUGGAACAGCCAGAAGAGAAGGCCCUAGAUUAAGCCUGGGCCAGUGACAGAGCCUCACCGUCUGGGGAUGGACGUUUCCCCAGGAAGUGCCACUGAAAUGAAAGUUACAGCUCACCUUCCCAGUGAUAUUAGUGACAGCUGGGCAGCACAACUUCUCUGCAGCCUUCCGUCACCACAGCUCAUCUUGAAGCUCUGACUGCAUGUUGCCAGUGUUUAAAAUCAGAGUUUGGGGUGAGUGAAUGUGGCAGGGGAAACCCUCCCUUGAGUUUUGAUUAUACCUAGGAUUAUUGGAUAUUAAGUUCGGAGAAAUAAAGACAUUCAAGAACAUAAAUGGGAGUUCCCGUCAUGGCACAGUGGUUAACGAAUCUGACUAGGAACGAUGAGGUUGCGGGUUCGAUCCGUGGCCUUGCUCAGUGGGUUAAGGAUCUGGCGUUGCCGUGAGCUGUGGUAUAGGUCACAGACAUGGCUCGGAUCUGGCGUGGCUGUGGCGUAGGCCAGCAGCUACAGCUCCCAUUGGACUCCUAGCCUGGGAAUCUCCAUAUGCCACAGGAGUGGCCCUAGAAAAGGCAAAAAGACAAAAAAAAAAUAGCAUAAAUGUAUGCUUGAUCCCAGAAAUGUGAGGAAUCCACAUCUUAUGCCUCCUCUCCUUUGCCUUGAAUGGAUCCUGGCCCAGC